GACGAACGCUGGCGGCGUGCUUAACACAUGCAAGUCGAACGGAAAGGCCCUGCUUUCGUGGGGUUCUCGAGGGGCGAACGGGUGCGUAACACGUGAGUAACCUGCUCUUGACUUUGGGAUAACUUCAGGAAACUGGGGCUAAUACCGGAUAGGAGCUCCUGCUGCAUGGUGGGGGUUGGAACGUCUCGGCGGUUGGGGAUGGACUCGCGGCUUAUCAGCUUGUUGGUGGGGUAGUCGCUUACCCAGGCUUUGACGGGUCGCCGGCCUGAGAGGGGGACCGGCGACAAUGGGACCGAGAUACGGACCAGACUGCUACAGGAGGCAACAGGGGGGAAUAUGGUACAGUGGGCGGGAGUCUGAUGCAGAAACGCCGCGUGUGGGAUGACGGCCUUCGGGUUGUGAACCGCAUUCGCCUGUGACGAAGCUUGAGUGACGGUAAUGGGUAAAGAAGCACCGGCUAACUACGUG
Molecule: ribosomal RNA, 468 nt
Filed under: uncultured bacterium
Lineage: Bacteria
Description: partial 16S ribosomal RNA
Rfam family: Bacterial small subunit ribosomal RNA
Source: RNAcentral